GCUAGCGGCAGGCCUAAUACAUGCAAGUCGAGGGGUAGCUCUGCUUUCGGGCAGAAACGACCGGCGCACGGGUGCGUAACGCGUAUGCAACCUACCUACAACUGGGGGAUAGCCCGGAGAAAUCCGGAUUAAUACCCCAUAAUGCAGGGGUACCGCAUGGUACUAUUUGCUAAAGAUUUAUUGGUUGUAGAUGGGCAUGCGUCUGAUUAGUUAGUUGGUGAGGUAACGGCUCACCAAGACGACGAUCAGUAGGGGUUCUGAGAGGAUGAUCCCCCACACUGGUACUGAGAUACGGACCAGACUCCUACGGGAGGCAGCAGUAGGGAAUAUUGGUCAAUGGGCGAGAGCCUGAACCAGCCAUGCCGUGUGCAGGAUGACGGACUUCUGGGUUGUAAACUGCUUUUAUCAGGGAAGAAAAGGGUGAUGCGU
RNAcentral lists this ribosomal RNA (429 nucleotides) under uncultured Bacteroidota bacterium. RNAcentral describes it as "bacterial SSU rRNA". It matches the Rfam family "Bacterial small subunit ribosomal RNA", at positions 35 to 462 of the family's 1533-position model. The record is from RNAcentral. Lineage: Bacteria; Pseudomonadati; Bacteroidota.